Non-coding RNA from Macaca mulatta (Rhesus monkey), 1843 nucleotides. The record is from RefSeq and is a predicted model, not a curated record. NCBI's taxonomy places the organism in Eukaryota, Metazoa, Chordata, Mammalia, Primates, Cercopithecidae.
UGCUGGAAUUAAAGGCAUGAGCCACCACACCCAGUUCAAGAAGGAAGAAAUCCACCAGAGACAAAAAAUAUGCUAAAAGACUUCAACUUAGGAGUUUGCUACACCUGCCAUCACACUGUUCACCAUUUCAUGGGGGAAAAAAGUGUGCUAGUAAUGCAGAGAAAAACAAACAUACCUAUUAGAAAGAUUGCAUCUGAAGAUGAUUUUCCAUAUUGCUGUUCUAUGUAUUUAGGCAUGAAGGAGAUCAUGUUAACGAAUGCAUUGAACUGUAUCACACUUAUAAGUAUGAAAAGCAUAUAAAUUGGAUUGCAGGAAAGACUUUUCAUGAAUGGUAGAAAAUCUGAAAUGAAAGAAUGACAACUGUGUCAAAUGAACUUGGCUUUGCAUUUUAUGACUGGCUUUUCCUGAAACAUCCACCUCCUCAACAAAUUAUGCUUUUUACUAUUUUGUAAUGUGUAUGUGUUUGUUAAUUCCUUUUUCCUCUUAAAAGCUGAAGUCAUAGAAAUGUUUGGUGGCUUCCGGAAGUCAGUGAUGUAGCUGACUGGGUAGGGAUCAGAACACAAUAGAUUUGCCCUCAAUAAGUCACUAUUGAGUCUUAAAGAUCAAUAAGCAAAACAACAAAGUGACCAAAAUAUUGUCUACGUCCACAGCAUUUUAUUUCUAAUCUUUUGUUCUUCUAUUAAUAUAUUAUAUUUUCUACAGCUCAUUAGAAUGAAAGAUGCUUGUUCUGUUCUGUAAUGUCUGCAGAAAAAUCAAGUUGAUAAAGAAGAUUUCACAUAAAUAUUUAUUUUAUCACUCCUUGAACAUUUGAAAUAAAGAUAUAUGUGGGAAUUAAUGAGAUAUGAAUGUUCUCAAGUAUCCAGAAUUUUUUUUUUUUUUUUUUGCUUCCUCAGAACAACAGUUUCAGUGGUUCUGCCAAUGGUUCUCAACAAGAUCUACCUGGAGAUAUUUUUUAAAAUACCAACAUCCAGGUCCCACCCUCAGCGAUGCUGAUUCAUUUGGUACAUUCUAAGGACUAUGUAAAUGAUUUAAUCAAAAAUUAUUCCUGUUAGAAAAAGCACAGAGCCAAAUGUGUGGCCUGCCUCUAGUAAUGUGUGCCCUGCCUCUAGUAAUGUGUGGCCUGCCUCUAGUAAUGUGUGACCUGCCUCUAGUAAUGUGUGGCCUGCCUCUAGUAAAUGUUCUUGGUCACACUGCUGCCAUUCAGGAUCAAGUUCUCACUUUUAAUUUCCUUUCACUUUUCCUGUCCACAUGUUCUCUGUCUUGACUUUCUUAUUUUGCACAAUCCUGGUUUGCUUAAUAAACUGCUCACAAUUCAUUCUGGAACAAAAUUUCAAUAAAUAAAUAAUUUAGAAGAGGAAGACACACAGAUUAAUGCAAACAAAUGAGUUAUAAUUAUAAAAUUUAUAUUUAUGAAUAGGGUACCUGACAGGAGAGAGAGUUACCGUCCGACUCUGAAGGUUUUUAAGUCACCCAUGUUUGUUGACAUCCCUGUCCUAAUAGAUGAGUUUCAGAAGCACAAGUUUGUUUUCUAUGUCUUGCAACAAGCUAAGCUCUUUCCUGAUUUUGAAAAUGGAACUGAUCUUGCAGACCACAAGAGGUCUAUCAGUCCAUAACAAUCCUUUAAGAAGAGUUUUUAAUAUCAUCAGAAUGAUUCUGAGAAUUUGCAAGAUUCUGAGUUGGCUCCUAAUGACCCAAGAUGUAUUAAAUUAUGCUCAAUUGUGAUUUAAGAGAAUUUAUAAUUGUUAAAAAAAUUUCCUUGCAAAUUGACAUUGUAACUUAUGGGUGAUGAUAGAAACAGCAACGGCAACAAUAAAAGUACUAACACUAGUAUCAGUAUUAAUAA